AUUGAACGCUGGCGGCAUGCUUUACACAUGCAAGUCGAACGGCAGCGAGGAGACGCUUGCUUCUCUGUCGGCGAGUGGCGAACGGGUGAGUAUAGCAUCGGAACGUGCCAAGUAGUGGGGGAUAACCAAACGAAAGUUUGGCUAAUACCGCGUAAGCUCUAAGGAGGAAAGUAGGGGACCUAAAUAAGGCCUUACGCUAUUUGAUCGGCCGAUGUCGGAUUAGCUAGUUGGUGGGGUAAUGGCUCACCGAGGCAAUGAUCCGUAGCGGGUCUGAGAGGACGAUCCGCCACACUGGGACUGAGACACGGCCCAGACUCCUACGGGAGGCAGCAGUGGGGAAUUUUGGACAAUGGGGGAAACCCUGAUCCAGCCAUGCCGCGUGUAUGAAGAAGGCCUUAGGGUUGUAAAGUACUUUUGUUAGGGAAGAAAAGCUAGUUUUUAAUAAAAAUUAGUGAUGACGGUACCUAAAGAAUAAGCACCGGCUAACUACGUG
This 493-nucleotide ribosomal RNA is filed under the name uncultured bacterium. RNAcentral describes it as "partial 16S ribosomal RNA". It matches the Rfam family "Bacterial small subunit ribosomal RNA", at positions 30 to 507 of the family's 1533-position model. The record is from RNAcentral.